AGUUCGAUUCUGGCUCAGAUUGAACGCUGGCGGGAUGCUUUACACAUGCAAGUCGAACGGCAGCACGGACUUCGGUCUGGUGGCGGAGCGGCGAACGGUGAGUAAUGUAUCGGAACGUGCCUAGUAUGGGGAUAACUACGCGAAAGCGUAACUAAUACUGCAUACGCCCUUCGGGGGAAAGCGGGGACCUCGGGCCUCGCACUAUUAGAGCGGCCGAUAUCGAUUAGAAGAAGCAGUGGGUGAAUUCGCCCACCAAGGCGACGAUCCGUAGCUGGUUUGAGAGGACGACCAGCCACACUGGGACUGAGACACGGCCCAGACUGCCCGGCCGGGAGGCAGCAGUGGGGAAUUUUACCAGUCGGGGAAACUUUCGAUCCAGCCAUCCCGCGUGUGCGAUGAAGGCCUUCGGGAUGUAAAGACUUUUUGGCAGGAAAGAAAAUGGCACGGGAUAAUACCCGUGCAACUGACGGUACCUGCAGAAUAAGCACCGGCUAAUCAAUGCGCCAGCAGCCAUGGUAUUGUAGGCAAGCGUUAAUCGGAACUGAUUGGCGUAAGCGCGCAGGCGGUUCGGUGCCAGAAAGAUGUGAAAUCCCAGAGUUUAACUUUGGAACUGCAUUUUUAACUACCGAGCUAGAGUGUGUCAGAGGGGAGGUAAAUCAUGUAGCAGUGAAAUGCGUAGAUGCGUGAGAACACUUCGAUGGCGAAGGCAGCCUCUCCUGGGAUAAUGAUUGACGUCGAAAAAGAAAGCGUGGGGAGCAAACAGGAUUAGAUACCCUGGUAGUCCACGCUCAUAAACGAUACCAAUUAGCUGUUGGGGCCUUUGGCCUGUAGCGCAGCUAACGGCGGUGAAGUUGGACCGCCUGGGGAGUACGGUCGCAAGAUUAAAACUCAAAGGAAUUGACGGGUAACGCACAAGCGGUGGAUGAUGUGGAUUAAUUCGAUGCAACGCGAAAACCUACCUACCUUGACACAGUCUGGAAUCCCGAAGAGAUUUGGGAUGUUGCCUGCGAAGAGAACCGGAACACAGGUGCUGCAUGGCUGUCGUCAGCUUCGCCGAGAUGUUGGGUUAAGUCCCGCAACGAGCGCAACCCUUGUCAUUAGUUGCUGUUAAGCGGGCACUCUAAUGAGACUGCCGGUGACAAACCGGAGGAAGGUGGGGAUGACGUCAAGUCCUCAUGGCCCUUAUGGGUAGGGCUUCACACGUCAUACAAUGGUCGGGACAGAGGGUCGCCAACCCGCGAGGGGGAGCCAAUCCCAGAAACCGAUCGUAGUCCGGACUGCAGGUCUGCAACUGACUGCGUGAAGUCGGAACGCUAGUGUAAUCGUGAUCAGCAUGUCGCGUGAAUACGUUCCCGGUCUUGUACACACCGCCCGUCACACCAUGGGAGUGGCUUUACCAGAAGUAGUUAGCCUAACCGUGCGAGUGGCGAUUACCACGGGUAGGAUCUAUGACAGGUGAAGUCGUAACAAGGUAG
Molecule: ribosomal RNA, 1475 nt
Filed under: uncultured Bordetella sp.
Lineage: Bacteria; Pseudomonadati; Pseudomonadota; Betaproteobacteria; Burkholderiales; Alcaligenaceae
Description: partial 16S-23S ribosomal RNA intergenic spacer
Rfam family: Bacterial small subunit ribosomal RNA
Source: RNAcentral